AUUUGAUGAUGUGGGCAUUGUAUUUUAAGAUCAUUAAAUCUAUCCCAAGCUUCGUAAAAUUCUUCAUUAGGUUUUUGUAUAAAUGUUUGAAUUAUAUUUCGCAUAUC
This 107-nucleotide small nucleolar RNA is filed under the name Thalictrum thalictroides. Its description in RNAcentral is "Plant small nucleolar RNA R71". It matches the Rfam family "Plant small nucleolar RNA R71". Rfam says of the family: R71 is a member of the C/D box family of snoRNAs containing the C (UGAUGA) and D (CUGA) box motifs. Multiple nearly identical copies of this snoRNA have been identified in Arabidopsis, and it is thought to function as a 2'-O-ribose methylation guide for 18S ribosomal RNA. Lineage: Eukaryota; Viridiplantae; Streptophyta; Magnoliopsida; Ranunculales; Ranunculaceae. The record is from Rfam by way of RNAcentral.